Molecule: ribosomal RNA, 254 nt
Filed under: uncultured prokaryote
Description: partial 16S ribosomal RNA
Rfam family: Bacterial small subunit ribosomal RNA
Source: RNAcentral
UACGUAGGACCCAAGCGUUAUCCGGAAUCACUGGGCGUAAAGAGUUGCGUAGGUGGCUUGUCAAGCAGCGUGUGAAAGCGUACGGCUCAACCGUAUACACAUACACUGAACUGGCAAGCUAGAGGAUGAGAGAGGUUAUUGGAAUUCCAAGUGUAGGAGUGAAAUCCGUAGAUAUUUGGAGGAACACCGAUGGCGUAGGCAGAUAACUGGCUCAUUUCUGACACUAAGGCACGAAAGCGUGGGGAGCAAACGGG